GCGGAAUUGGCGAAAUUGGCAGACGCGCAAGAUUCAGGGUCUUGUCACCGCCGAGGUGGUGUGAGUUCGAGUCUCACAUUCCGCACCA
Molecule: transfer RNA, 88 nt
Filed under: Muribaculaceae bacterium
Lineage: Bacteria; Pseudomonadati; Bacteroidota; Bacteroidia; Bacteroidales; Muribaculaceae
Description: tRNA-Leu
Rfam family: tRNA
About the family: Transfer RNA (tRNA) molecules are approximately 80 nucleotides in length. Their secondary structure includes four short double-helical elements and three loops (D, anti-codon, and T loops).
Source: RNAcentral